RNAcentral lists this ribosomal RNA (253 nucleotides) under uncultured bacterium. RNAcentral's name for it is "partial 16S ribosomal RNA". It matches the Rfam family "Bacterial small subunit ribosomal RNA", at positions 524 to 776 of the family's 1533-position model. The record is from RNAcentral.
UACGUAGGUGGCAAGCGUUGUCCGGAUUUACUGGGCGUAAAGGAUGCGUAGGCGGACAUUUAAGUCAGAUGUGAAAUACCCGAGCUUAACUUGGGUGCUGCAUUUGAAACUGGGUGUCUAGAGUGCAGGAGAGGUAAGUGGAAUUCCUAGUGUAGCGGUGAAAUGCGUAGAGAUUAGGAAGAACCCCAGAGGCGAAGGCGGCGCCCUGGCUCGCAACUGACGCUCAGACACGACAGCAUGGGGAGCGAACGGG